CUGCACCGUUGCAGCUCAAAGCCAGCCGACCUAGUUCAUGCCUAUGCCCAAGUGGAGGCAGUUUGGUAUGCUUGAAUCACAUUAUUUUGCAUGAUCAUUAAAUCCAAUUUUGUCCUACCCUGUGCUCACUAUUCGUGCACACGCGUGUAUCCAGGCCCACUGUUGCCCUCAAUUUUGUUUGUUACAGUGAGGUUUUGCGUUUCUAACAAGCUCUCCGAGUGCUGCUGGUCCCACGGACUACACUUUGAGUAGUGAGGGCUUGGGAAAUUCUUAAGCGCACCAAACUUUGAGAAAUCCGUGUCCAGGUGCAUGUGCCCCUUAUUUAGUCGGGGUCAGGACACUGCCUCCCCAGUGGGAUUGGAUCUGGAAGGGAGGAAACAGAAUCAUGCCUCCACAGCUGUGCACACAUCUGUGUUCCUGUGGAAGGACCUUCCAAGUGUCCCCAGCAGACCCAGAUCCCUUCCUAAACGGUGGACUCACCUGGCUUCUGAUGACAAAUUGAAAUUAACACAGAGUGAUCACAAUUCAGGCAUACAAAAAUGGAGUCCGACUAAAAAAAAAAAAAUGGAGUCCGGUAGCAGUUGAGGAUCUGGUUUCAGACACAUCUCUGCAUCACUGAAAACCUGAACGUUCUUUGAGCUCUACCAGAUCCAUGGACAUCACCAGAGUACUCAGAACAACACUUGCCAGCUGCAAACCUUAUGGUCUCAAGGUCUCCCCUUGAAAUUAUUUAACCAUUUCGGACCCCAACCAAUCCUUAUUAAAUAAGCACCUUUACUUCUGGCCAGCUCCAAUUGUAAUUCUUGACAAACAACUCCUGUAACUAACUGUAACCUUGCGGUUUCUGCCUUCAUAAGCCUCCCCAUUUUGUAGUCCUGCAGAACACAAUUGAAGAGCUUCUAUAUAUAUAUUUUUUUUUUCGUUAUUUUAUUUAUUUAUUUAUUUUUGGCCCCCUUGGGUCUUUGUUGCUGCGGGAGGGCUUUCUCUAGACCCAGCGAGCGGAGGCUACUCUUCCUUGCGGUGGCUUCUCCUGUUGCGGAGCGCAGAUUCUUAACCUCUGCGCCACCAGGGAAGCCCUGAAGCGCUUCUUGAAUCUGUGUCUCCAGGAGUGCAGUGCUAGCAAACCCCAAAUAAGCACCUUGUUUUUCAAUCAGGUCUCCAUUUCUAAAAUUUUGGUUAAAUCUUCUAACUGUGCUGGGACCAAGGUAGGAAGGGGUGGGUUUCUCAUUCAUUCAGCAGAUACGUAUUGAAUGUCCAAGCAAUGAAUAAGACAGCCCCAGCCCCAGCAAGCUUGAGACUCAGUCUAUGGGUAAGAAAAACCUUAAACAAAUACGUACACCAUCAAUUCUGUGUUAUCACAAUUGGGGUGAGGGUCAGGAAGAAGUAGAGGAUAACUUGCAGACAUCUGAGGGGACUUGCACCAUUUGGGGUGUCAUGUUCUCUGAAGAAAUGAAGUUUAAACUUUGGGUGGAAGUGCUCAGUGGGAGUUGGCGGGAGGAGGAGGAGAGUGUUAAAGAGAGGAAGAAACAUUUAUACAUAUAUUUAUUGAGCACCUACUAGGUGCCAGAACUUUUAGCCCUGGGCAUCCUGAGAGGUACAAAUCAGUCCUCCUGGAGUUCCGAAUGUGCAAAGCUUGGGGAAGGGAGGGUGCUUCACGUGUCGGGGGUUGAAGGAAAAACUGGUGUGGCUACAGCACAGCGAUGAGAGGGGUGUUCGGAGGGGAGGGGCAGAGAGUCGGAGGUGGGUGGGGCCUGACCAUGAAAAGCACUCUAGGCCGCUUUUAGGAGGUUAGACUAAAACUUCUUGGCCAACCCCCAAGCAAGCCCCUCUGGGUUGAAGAGACAGCUGUCUGCAAUUACUUAGGAUUGGCUUUUAGAAGCAGAUUUUAGUUUCCUCAAACUUCUACCCAGCUCCCACUGUGAGUUGACUGACAUCAAAAGAAGCUAAGACUUCAGGGCUUGAAGGACCCUAAGAAAACAUCAACUCCAACCCUUUCUUUGUACAGAUUGGAAGACUGAGGCCCAGUGAGGCCCAGGAUUGCCCUGCUCAACCGUAUCAGACACGUCAGUACUCUCUACAUCCCCUCUGCCUACCCAUCCACCUUGGAGUUCACCAGCAGGCAAUUCCUGGACACACCUCUGACAGCUUCCUGCAUCUCUCUGACUGACGGCUUCAGGGCAGCCUGGAAGUAGAGAAUUAGGAAUUGACACCCCCAGAAAGGACCCUUGAACCAGCGAGAGACCAGAGUUGGUAGUAAAUACACCAAUUUCUUCACUCCUGAUGGGAUAACUUGAAGGCACGUUCCUUUUUUUUCACAUCCCUACUAACCAUUGUGCUUCCUGGGAUCACCUCACAAAUAAGCAGGGACUGUGGCAGAGUUAAACUGCAAGUCUCCAGACUCCUAGUCCAGUGCUCUUUCCUCACACCAGUGUUUCUCAACCUCGGCACUAUUACCAUUUUGGACUGGAUAAUUCCUUGUUCACGGGGGCUGGCCUGUGUAUUGAAGAAUGUUUAGCAGCAUCCCUGAACUCUAGCCACUAGAUGCCAGCAGCACCCUCCAGUUGGGAAUAAAAAAUGUGUCUUCCUUGUCAAAUGUCCCCUGGGGGAAAAUCACCCCUGGUUGCAAACCACUGCUGUACACCAGGCUGUCCCUCUUAGCAGGUCUAGAGAAAGAAUUCCAAGCCCUAAGAAUCCCUCCCCUUCCCGACGGCUCUUCAGAGAACAUAAAUGAAACCACUGAAAUUUACUCUGAAAAAUCUUUUAUUAGAGAUGAGUGAAAUAACAAGACACUGGGGGCUCUGAAGACAACCUUGCUCCUGUGGGAUCACAGACCUGUCAGGUCUCCAGGGUAAACAGCGCAGCCUCCCGGACCAGGCUGCUGCAUUGGCCAUUGGCAUCCUCUGGCCUCCCCUGUUUGUCCUGGUCCAUCCCAGGGCCCAGG
Molecule: long non-coding RNA, 2941 nt
Organism: Orcinus orca (killer whale)
Lineage: Eukaryota; Metazoa; Chordata; Mammalia; Artiodactyla; Delphinidae
Exons: 2
Source: RefSeq, a predicted model, not a curated record